AGAGUGAACGCUGGCGGCAGGCCUAACACAUGCAAGUCGAACGGCAGCACAGGGGAGCUUGCUCCCUGGGUGGCGAGUGGCGGACGGGUGAGGACAACGUCGGAAUCUGCCUUUUUGUGGGGGAUAACGUAGGGAAACUUACGCUAAUACCGCAUACGACCCCAGGCCGGGAGGUUUGGGUGAAAGCGGAGGACCUUCGGGCUUCGCGCAGAAAGAUGAGCCGACGUCGGAUUAGCUAGUUGGUGGGGUAAAAGGCCCACCAAGGCGACGAUCCGUAGCUGGUCUGAGAGGAUGAUCAGCCACACUGGAACUGAGACACGGUCCAGACUCCUACGGGAGGCAGCAGUGGGGGAAUAUUGGACAAUGGGCGCAAGCCUGAUCCAGCCAUGCCGCGUGUGUGAAGAAGGCCUUCGGGUUG
This 418-nucleotide ribosomal RNA is filed under the name uncultured soil bacterium. RNAcentral describes it as "bacterial SSU rRNA". It matches the Rfam family "Bacterial small subunit ribosomal RNA", at positions 26 to 425 of the family's 1533-position model. The record is from RNAcentral.